AGUGAACGCUGGCGGUAGGCCUAACACAUGCAAGUCGAACGGCAGCACAGGAGAGCUUGCUCUCUGGGUGGCGAGUGGCGGACGGGUGAGGAAUACAUCGGAAUCUACUUUUUCGUGGGGGAUAACGUAGGGAAACUUACGCUAAUACCGCAUACGACCUACGGGUGAAAGCAGGGGAUCUUCGGACCUUGCGCGAUUGAAUGAGCCGAUGUCGGAUUAGCUAGUUGGCGGGGUAAAGGCCCACCAAGGCGACGAUCCGUAGCUGGUCUGAGAGGAUGAUCAGCCACACUGGAACUGAGACACAGUCCAGACUCCUACGGGAGGCAGCAGUGGGGAAUAUUGGACAAUGGGCGCAAGCCUGAUCCAGCCAUACCGCGUGGGUGAAGAAGGCCUUCGGGUUGUAAAGCCCUUUUGUUGGGAAAGAAAUCCAGCUGGUUAAUACCCGGUUGGGAUGACGGUACCCAAAGAAUAAGCACCGGCUAACUUCGUGCCAGCAGCAGCCGCAG
RNAcentral lists this ribosomal RNA (506 nucleotides) under uncultured bacterium. Its description in RNAcentral is "partial 16S ribosomal RNA". It matches the Rfam family "Bacterial small subunit ribosomal RNA", at positions 29 to 523 of the family's 1533-position model. The record is from RNAcentral.